AGUGAACGCUGGCGGUAGGCCUAACACAUGCAAGUCGAACGGCAGCACAGUAAGAGCUUGCUCUUACGGGUGGCGAGUGGCGGACGGGUGAGGAAUACAUCGGAAUCUACUUUUUCGUGGGGGCUAACGUAGGGAAACUUACGCUAAUACCGCAUACGACCUACGGGUGAAAGCAGGGGAUCUUCGGACCUUGCGCGAUUGAAUGAGCCGAUGUCGGAUUAGCUAGUUGGCGGGGUAAAGGCCCACCAAGGCGACGAUCCGUAGCUGGUCUGAGAGGAUGAACAGCCACACUGGAACUGAGACACGGUCCAGACUCCUACGGGAGGCAGCAGUGGGGAAUAUUGGACAAUGGGCGCAAGCCUGAUCCAGCCAUACCGCGUAGGUGAAGAAGGCCUUCGGGUUGUAAAGCCCUUUUGUUGGGAAAGAAAAGCAGCAGGUUAAUACCCCGCUGUUCUGACGGUACCCAAAGAAUAAGCACCGGCUAACUUCGUG
RNAcentral lists this ribosomal RNA (492 nucleotides) under uncultured bacterium. RNAcentral's name for it is "partial 16S ribosomal RNA". It matches the Rfam family "Bacterial small subunit ribosomal RNA", at positions 29 to 507 of the family's 1533-position model. The record is from RNAcentral.